This 293-nucleotide ribosomal RNA is filed under the name Salmonella enterica subsp. enterica serovar Enteritidis. RNAcentral describes it as "partial 23S ribosomal RNA". It matches the Rfam family "Bacterial large subunit ribosomal RNA", at positions 938 to 1230 of the family's 2925-position model. The record is from RNAcentral. Lineage: Bacteria; Pseudomonadati; Pseudomonadota; Gammaproteobacteria; Enterobacterales; Enterobacteriaceae.
ACCAACCCGAUGCAAACUGCGAAUACCGGAGAAUGUUAUCACGGGAGACACACGGCGGGUGCUAACGUCCGUCGUGAAGAGGGAAACAACCCAGACCGCCAGCUAAGGUCCCAAAGUCAUGGUUAAGUGGGAAACGAUGUGGGAAGGCCCAGACAGCCAGGAUGUUGGCUUAGAAGCAGCCAUCAUUUAAAGAAAGCGUAAUAGCUCACUGGUCGAGUCGGCCUGCGCGGAAGAUGUAACGGGGCUAAACCAUGCACCGAAGCUGCGGCAGCGACACUGUGUGUUGUUGGGUA